RNAcentral lists this ribosomal RNA (253 nucleotides) under uncultured bacterium. RNAcentral's name for it is "partial 16S ribosomal RNA". It matches the Rfam family "Bacterial small subunit ribosomal RNA", at positions 524 to 776 of the family's 1533-position model. The record is from RNAcentral.
UACGUAGGGGGCAAGCGUUGUCCGGAAUCAUUGGGCGUAAAGAGCGCGUAGGCGGCCCUGUAAGUCCGCUGUGAAAGUCAAAGGCUCAACCUUUGAAAGCCGAUGGAUACUGCAGGGCUAGAGUCCGGAAGAGGCGAGUGGAAUUCCUGGUGUAGCGGUGGAAUGCGCAGAUAUCAGGAGGAACACCAAUAGCGAAGGCAGCUCGCUGGGACGGUACUGACGCUAAGGCGCGAAAGCGUGGGGAGCGAACAGG